RNAcentral lists this unclassified non-coding RNA (337 nucleotides) under soil metagenome. RNAcentral's name for it is "partial contains 5.8S ribosomal RNA, internal transcribed spacer 2, and large subunit ribosomal RNA". The stretch from base 1 to 120 matches the Rfam family "5.8S ribosomal RNA", at positions 35 to 154 of the family's 154-position model. The record is from RNAcentral.
GAUGAAGAACGUAGCGAAAUGCGAUAAGUAAUGUGAAUUGCAGAAUUCAGUGAAUCAUCGAAUCUUUGAACGCACAUUGCGCCCGCCAGUAUUCUGGCGGGCAUGCCUGUUCGAGCGUCAUUUCAACCAUCAAGCCCCCGGGCUUGUGUUGGGGACCUGCGGCUGCCCGCAGGCCCUGAAAACCAGUGGCGGGCUCGCUGUCACACCGAGCGUAGUAGCAUCAUCUCGCUCAGGGCGUGCUGCGGGUUCCGGCCGUUAAAAAGCCUCUAAUCCCCAAGGUUGACCUCGGAUCAGGUAGGAAGACCCGCUGAACUUAAGCAUAUCAAUAAGCGGAGGA